UACAGAGGUCCCGAGCGUUGUUCGGAUUCAUUGGGCGUAAAGGGCGCGUAGGCGGUCAGCACAAGUCAGUUGUGAAAUCUCCGGGCUUAACUCGGAAAGGUCAACUGAUACUGUGCGACUAGAGUGCGGAAGGGGCAACUGGAAUUCUCGGUGUAGCGGUGAAAUGCGUAGAUAUCGAGAGGAACACCUGCGGCGAAGGCGGGUUGCUGGGCCGACACUGACGCUGAUGCGCGAAAGCCAGGGGAGCGAACGGG
This 254-nucleotide ribosomal RNA is filed under the name uncultured bacterium. Its description in RNAcentral is "partial 16S ribosomal RNA". It matches the Rfam family "Bacterial small subunit ribosomal RNA", at positions 524 to 776 of the family's 1533-position model. The record is from RNAcentral.